Molecule: long non-coding RNA, 1090 nt
Filed under: Struthio camelus australis
Lineage: Eukaryota; Metazoa; Chordata; Aves; Struthioniformes; Struthionidae
Description: lncRNA (ENSSCUG00000006441.1)
Source: RNAcentral
GCCAGCCUUACAGCUCUAUACUGUUAGAGAUCUGAAAUUCAGCCUGGUUUUCCACAACACAUACUUCCCCAGUGCCAAAAACCAGGCAGGCUCUAAGCUACACCAGUGCAAGCACCAUUCAACACAGUCUGGGCUAAACAAAGGUUAAGGUCUAGUUUGGGCAUAGUGGAUUUGCACAGCUGCUAUUGAGGCAUAAUUGGGUAAUGGAUCAUUACUAGAAUUGUUGAAGUAUAAAAAGAGAAUACAGCUGAAUAUUGUGUCUUACAGGUGUAGUCUGCAGGUAGCAGACUAGGUAUAGGUAUAGGUAUAGGUAGCAGCAACACGAACAUAUCUGUUUGUAAACCAAGAAACUAUGAUCUGAAUCCUUGGCAUGUGAAUAAUAUGUAGUAUGAAGAUGCUAUUUUUACAGAAAAAUGUUUUCAUUUGAACUGUACAAACUGUGUGUGUUCCAUUUUGGUUCUCUUGAUAAGCAUGCCCUUUAAUUUUUAGAAAUUAACGACAGACUAAUUCAUUUCAGGGUUGCUAUAUCUGAGGUAGGAAGAUACACUAUUUCACUAUUUUAAAAUUAAAAAGCAAAAUCUAACUGAAACGUGAAUUACAGAAGGUAGGAAAAGCAGCUCGCAAGAAUAAGCUAUUUGCCAGAAAGUAAAAAUUGAAAAAAAAAAGAAAUGGCAGAGCUAAAAGAAAUAAUCUCUUUUCUUUAAGAGACUAUCAUACGGUAGAUCACCACUAAACUAAAAUCUCAUUGCUAGCUUGAUUUUCAUGCUGGAUCAGGUAAAUGUUUAAGCAAGCGUCUAGCUUCACCCCUUUGGACUUCCCCCUUAUUUAAGUGAAAGAGUGCAUUUUAGUCUUCAGAGAAUUUUAGCCCUUUUAGAACUAAACUUCCCUUUCUGCCUUUCUCUUUUCUAGCUGUCUCCUUCAAGCUCCCAAACUUUCACCUUACAUUCAGAAAUGCAGGCUAGCACUGGAUAUAUUUAUCUGUUGGCUGCGUAAAGAGGAAGCAUUCUGUAGCUGCCUUCCCAUUAUUUCUCUUCAAUACAAACAAUAUUUAAGAUGUUACGUGUUUUGUAUUGAGCCAUUGCAAGGAUAA